Molecule: long non-coding RNA, 1705 nt
Filed under: Capra hircus (goat)
Lineage: Eukaryota; Metazoa; Chordata; Mammalia; Artiodactyla; Bovidae
Description: lncRNA (ENSCHIG00010011666.1)
Source: RNAcentral
CUCCAGGAGUUGGUGAUGGACAGGGAGGCCUGGUUCAUGGGGUCGCAAAGUCAGACACAACUGAGUCACUGAACUGAACUGAAGGGUUGGGGGAGGAAAAGGAGAAACUGGAAGGAAAGAGCAAGGAAUAUGAAAAAAGGAGAAACAAGGAAGAACAGACUGACAGAUAAUGUGUCCACAUCAAGUGGAUACAAUCUGCAUACUACCCUUGAGAGAUGUUAAUUGUUUGACAGUGGUUGAUCUUUAAAAGUAAAUGUCAUGAGACCUGGUCUAACGGACUUCAGUGCAAAACCAGAAAUGAACUUUUCGCAGAGAAUCUAAUAGGUGAGUUAUAGUCAUGCCCCUAACAUCUUUGAGCUUAGGAUCUAGGACACAUUCAAAUGGGGCAACAAUGAUCUAAGAAGUUCCAGGGAGAUAAGGAUAGGAAAAAUAUUGAGUUUUCACAGGAUAAUGGUCUCCAACCUACAAAAUACAACCUGAUCACCCUUCUCUCUUCUAAGGGCCUCCUUAGUUCCAUUCUUCUAAUUCCCCAUCCUACUCAUAAACAUGUUUUCUGGCAUAGUGUUCAUGCCUGACAAUAGAUGUAAAUUAACCUGCGUUCAUCCUCCUUUCUGUCUGAGACAAUCACCAAAAAUCCCUUUCUCUAGUGCUACAUAGUGAUCCUAGAUUUCUUCCACAGCCAGAGUAGGCUUGAUUAGGAAUUUGAGAAAAAUGAGCUGGUCUCAUUGCUUCGAAUGUUUUAACACAAUGCAGAACAAGAAAGAGUCCUGGGAAAGUAGAGAGUGGAGGGAGAUGACAUUAUUAGAUCAUUCUAUAAUGGUGAUGGUUUUUUCCUAAAACAUUUUAUGCCAGAAGUUAUAUUUGUGGAUAGGAUGGGGAAUUAGAAAAAAGGAUAGAAUUAAUGAGGCCAUUGGAAGUGAGUUCUUUUUUAAGGAUAAACUAUAAACUAGAGGAGUUCAUCAAUAGUGCAGUAAUCCUCUCCAGUCCACGUGUUUAUCUACCUAAGGGAGUCACUCAGUUAGGAUUUAGGAUAGGAUAUCUCUACUAGGAGGGUCGAGAAAAGCACAUAAAGGACAUGAAUUUACUCCCUUACUCAUGGUUGUUUUUUUGACAUUUACCCAAUAUUGGUGACAUAAUGGGUACCCAAGAAGUGUUCGUUGACUAGAGAAGGGAUGAAAGUAGACCAAGAUUUCAUUUAUUGUCAUAAAUAAUAGAAAGCUUUUGUUAAACGUCAAGUCCCACAUACUUUGACACUUACUACACAAGUGUACAUACCUUCAUUUCACUGACAAACAUUGAGAGUCAAAUAGAUUAAGUGGCUUGGCCAAGGUCAUUCAAGCAGCAUUUCCCCCAACUGAUGUAAAAGCAUGAGAUUUUCACUGAAUUGUCUGAAAUAAGGUCGCCAGGGUCAAGAAUUGAUGUUAUAAAUGUAAGGAAAUAGGGGGAAAAUCUAGGGGGGAAAAGCUACAAAUAGUCUCUUAACAACUCAAGUGAGGUUUUCUGGACAAAUGAAAUUUUAAAGGAAAAACUAUUUUCAGAGCAUAGUUUUGGAAAUAAAGAUUGAGGAGGAUGAGACUGUAGAUUUUGACAACAGAGGGUUAAGAAACUGAGAUUGCUUAGUGGUAGAGUCUACUAAAGUAGGAAGAUGAUGGUUUGCUUUUCUCAGAUUUCUAAGGGAAUAGAUUUUUUUAUCGAUUGCUGAUCA